Transfer RNA from Conidiobolus coronatus NRRL 28638, 81 nucleotides. It matches the Rfam family "tRNA". From Rfam's summary of the family: Transfer RNA (tRNA) molecules are approximately 80 nucleotides in length. Their secondary structure includes four short double-helical elements and three loops (D, anti-codon, and T loops). NCBI's taxonomy places the organism in Eukaryota, Fungi, Entomophthoromycota, Entomophthoromycetes, Entomophthorales, Conidiobolaceae. The record is from Rfam.
GACAAGAUGGCCGAGUGGUUAAGGCGUGUGCCUAGAAAGCACAUGGGAUUUCCCGCGCAGGUUCAAAUCCUGCUCUUGUCG